GACCGCCGCCCCGCAAAGGCGGCCAAGGCCAGACGGACAGCCGGGUCGAAUGCCGA
Molecule: small RNA, 56 nt
Filed under: bovine gut metagenome
Description: Streptococcus sRNA SpF59 (ldcC RNA)
Rfam family: Streptococcus sRNA SpF59 (ldcC RNA)
Source: RNAcentral